AGCUGGAAUCGCUAGUAAUCGCAGAUCAGAAUGCUGCGGUGAAUACGUUCCCGGGUCUUGUACACACCGCCCGUCACACCAUGGGAGUCGGAAAUGCCCGAAGCCAGUGACCCAACCUUAAGGAGGGAGCUGUCGAAGGUGGAGCCGGUAACUGGGGUGAAGUCGUAACAAGGUAGC
This 177-nucleotide ribosomal RNA is filed under the name uncultured bacterium. Its description in RNAcentral is "partial 16S ribosomal RNA". It matches the Rfam family "Bacterial small subunit ribosomal RNA", at positions 1324 to 1500 of the family's 1533-position model. The record is from RNAcentral.